This 1454-nucleotide ribosomal RNA is filed under the name metagenome. RNAcentral describes it as "bacterial SSU rRNA". It matches the Rfam family "Archaeal small subunit ribosomal RNA". The record is from RNAcentral.
GUUGAUCCUGCUAGACCGGAUUGCUAUCAGGAUGGGACUAAGCCAUGCAAGUCAAAUAUUUCUUCAUGCCUGAAAUAUUGGCGGAUCGCUCAGUAGCACGUAGUUAAUCUACCCUGCAGAGGGGCAUACCCACGGGAAACUGUGGCUAAUACCCCAUAGGCCACGCGGACUGGAAUGUUGCGUGACUUAAAGGCUCGCUUAGGCUAUGAGAAAACGAGCGCUACAGGAUGAGACUGCGGCAGAUUAUGGUCGUUGGUGGGGUAACGGCCCACCAAGCCUGUGAUCUGUGCGGGCUGUGGGAGCAGGAGCCCGGAGAUGGGAACUGAGACAACGUCCCAAGCCCUACGGGGUGCAGCAGGCGCGAAAACUCCGCAAUGCACGCAAGUGCGACGGGGCCAUCCUGAGUGCCUUCGGGCUUUUCAUCAGUCCAAGACGCUGAUGGAAUAAGGGGAGGGCAAGGCUGGUGCCAGCAGCCGCGGUAAAACCAGCUCCUCAAGUGAUCCGGGACAUUACUGGGCCUAAAGCGUCCGUAGCCGGAUCUGCAAGUCUCCGGUUAAAUCCGACAGCUCAACUGCCGGCCUGCUGGAGAUACUACAGACCUUGGAGGCGGAAGAGGUCGAGGGUACUCCUCGGGUAGGGGUGAAAUCCGAUAAUCCGAGGGGGACCACCAGUGGCGAAGGCGCUCGACUGGGACGCGCUCGACGGUGAUGGACGAAAGCCAGGGGAGCGAACCGGAUUAGAUACCCGGGUAGUCCUGUGCUGUAAACGAUGCGGGCUAGGUGUUGGCCCAGCCACGAGCUGGGUCAGUGCCGAAGGGAAGCCGUUAAGCCCGCCGCCUGGGGAGUACGGUCGCAAGGCUGAAACUUAAAGGAAUUGGCGGGGGAGCACCACAAGGGGUGAAGUCUGCGGUUUAAUUGGACCCAACGCCGGGAAGCUUACCAGGGGCGACAGCUGUAUGAAGGUCAGGCUGAUGACCUUACCAGACUCGCUGAGAGGCGGUGCAUGGCCGUCGCCAGUUCGUGCCGUGAGGUGUCCUGUUAAGUCAGGCAACGAACGAAACCCAAACUCACAGUUGCGAGCAGAUCCCUUCGGGGAUGCUGGGCACUCUGUGGGGACCGCCAUCGCUAAGAUGGAUGAAGGUUUGGGCCACGGCAGGUCAGUAUGCCCCGAAUCCCCUGGGCCACACGCGGACUGCAAAGGCGAGGACAAUGGGUUGCUACAUCGAAAGGUGACGCUAAUCCCGAAACCUCGUCCUAGUUAGGAUUGCGGGUUGCAACUCACCCGCAUGAAUAUGGAAUCCCUAGUAACCGUGUGUCACCAUCGCACGGUGAAUACGUCCCUGCUCCUUGCACACACCGCCCGUCACUGCAUCUGAGUGGGGUCUGGGUGAGGCACGGUCUUGUUGGCCGUCUCGAAUCUAGGCUCUGCAAGGAGGCAGAAGUCGUAACAAGGUA